This 468-nucleotide ribosomal RNA is filed under the name uncultured bacterium. RNAcentral describes it as "partial 16S ribosomal RNA". It matches the Rfam family "Bacterial small subunit ribosomal RNA", at positions 28 to 507 of the family's 1533-position model. The record is from RNAcentral.
GACGAACGCUGGCGGCGUGCUUAACACAUGCAAGUCGAACGGAAAGGCCCUGCUUUUGUGGGGUGCUCGAGUGGCGAACGGGUGAGUAACACGUGAGUAACCUGCCCUUGACUUUGGGAUAACUUCUGGAAACUGGGGCUAAUACCGGAUAGGAGCUCCUGCUGCAUGGUGGGGGUUGGAAAGUUUCGGCGGUUGGGGAUGGACUCGCGGCUUAUCCGCUUGUUAGUGGGGUAGUGGCUUACCAAGGCUUUGACGGGUAGCCGGCCUGAGAGGGUUGCCGGCCACAAUAGGACUGAGAGACGGACCAGACUCCUACGGGAGGCAGCAGUGGGGAAUAUUGCACAAUGGGCGGAAGCCUGAUGCAGCAGCGCCGCGUGCGGGAUGACGGCCUUCGGGUUGUAAACCGCUUUCGCCUGUGACGAAGCGUGAGUGACGGUAAUGGGUAAAGAAGCACCGGCUAACUACGUG